UACCCGCCGGGAAUUAAGCAUAUCAAUAAGCGGAGGAAAAGAAACUAACAAGGAUGCGCUUAGUAACGGCGAGCGAACCGCGCAAAGCCCAACUUGAAAAUCUCCCUAGGAGAAUUGUAGUCUAUAGAAGUACCCUCUGCAACGGGCUGAGCUAAAGUCUCCUGGAAAGGGGCGUCAGAGAGGGUGAGAACCCCGUAAGCUUACGCUUAGUUGCCUCACGAGGUGCUUUCAAAGAGUCGGGUUGCUUGGGAAUGCAGCCCAAAUUUGGUGGUAAAUCCCAUCUAAGGCUAAAUAUUGGCGAGAGACCGAUAGCGAACAAGUACCGUGAGGGAAAGAUGAAAAGAACUUUGAAAAGAGAGUUAAAAAGUGCUUGAAAUUGUUGAGGGGGAAGCGUUUGAAUGCUAGGGUGCGCCUAGGCUUAUGGGUUCUUAACGGGACUCUGUAUGUGCUAGGUGCUGGCCAGCAUGGGUUAGGCUAGUGGGAUAAAAGCUGGGGUUGAUACCCGGUGUAUGCCACUGGCUUGACCAAGGCGUUAAGACUGCCCUUGUCCUUCGGGAACUGCAGUCUCAAGAUGCUGGCAAAAGGCUUUCAACCGACCCGUCUUGAAACCACGGACCA
Molecule: ribosomal RNA, 618 nt
Filed under: Asterarcys sp. NEIST BT-13
Lineage: Eukaryota; Viridiplantae; Chlorophyta; Chlorophyceae; Sphaeropleales; Scenedesmaceae
Description: Asterarcys sp. NEIST-BT13 partial large subunit ribosomal RNA
Rfam family: Eukaryotic large subunit ribosomal RNA
Source: RNAcentral